CUGCUGGUUACACCGUGGUGGAUGCCUGCCGUGCUGCUUGGAGUAUUUUACACAAACGUAAAAUGCUGGUCCAGGUUCGAUACUGCCAACAGCAGAAGUAUGUGAAGUUGGAAGAGGUUGAUGGGCGUUUUGAGUUUAUGCAGUUUCAUGAAAAAGAAUUUUCUGAUUACUCCUUGUCUUCUGCAUCUGAUUGUUCUGACUCAAGCUUCAGCUCAAAUGCAAGUACAUCAACUAUACUUCUAGAUGAGGGUCCCAGGAAGAAAACAAGAGUUGAGGGUACUGUUGAUGCAGCAUCUGCUAAAAAGUUAAUUGAAGGUGUACUUGGAACCAAUUCAGGUGGUGAAGAGGUUCUCCAGGAAUAUCACACAACACAAAC
Non-coding RNA from Maylandia zebra (zebra mbuna), 376 nucleotides. The record is from RefSeq and is a predicted model, not a curated record. NCBI's taxonomy places the organism in Eukaryota, Metazoa, Chordata, Actinopteri, Cichliformes, Cichlidae.